AGCUCCAAUAGCGUAUAUUAAAGUUGCUGCAGUUAAAAAGCUCGUAGUUGGAUUUGUGGCGCGGCCGUCCGGCGGGGGUCCUUCUAUGGUCUCGUUUGUCCUGGUUUUCGGCCGCUCCUUUCUCGGGUAGAGCGUAAUGGCUGGCAUUAGGUUGUCGGCCGCUUCGCGCCCGUCGUUUACUGUGAAAAAAUUAGAGUGUUCAAAGCAGGCUUAGGCCGUUGAAUAUAUUAGCAUGGAAUAAUGAGAUAGGUCUAGGGUCCUAUUUUGUUGGUUUGCGGUUCUUAGAAAUGAUUAACAGGGACAGUUGGGGGUAUUCGUAUUCCAUUGUCAGAGGUGAAAUUCUUGGAUUUUUGGAAGACGAACUACUGCGAAAGCAUUUACCAAGGAUGUUUUCAUUAAU
RNAcentral lists this ribosomal RNA (400 nucleotides) under phytoplankton environmental sample. RNAcentral describes it as "partial small subunit ribosomal RNA". It matches the Rfam family "Eukaryotic small subunit ribosomal RNA", at positions 587 to 977 of the family's 1831-position model. The record is from RNAcentral.